GCAGACACGCUGCAACUGAUUGAAUCAUGCUGGAGUGAAACCAAUCUUCUGUGAUACAAGAUCAGAGGAGUGAGCCAGGCCUUGGGCUGCCAGCGGAGGACGUGAAGUCAAGCCAGGGAGCCAAGGCCACUGUCAGCUCUCAGUGUUUAGAAUAACCCAGUAAAACCUCCUGGGAACCCGGGCUGGGAUCGGACCAGCGUUGGCAACGGGAAUGACUGAGAGAUGCAAUAAUUCAUCACCCUGGAGCUGGUGAGGCACUUUUUGGCCGAGAGACAGAGUGAUAGAGGAGAAAUUUUCAGAGAGGGGGGAGAGAGAGUUUACAGAGUUCCCUUGCAUGUUGUGAUACAGCUGACCCCAUCCUCAACUUUGACCCCUGACUCCGCCAGAGAUCUGUCAUGAGAGGGAGCUGCUUAACACAAAAUGGAGCCUGGUUCAAGAGUCAGAAAGAGAGAGAGACGGAGAGAGAGAGAGGGAGAGAGAGGCGCACAGAUGACUCAUUUAUCUUCUCUCUCUCGACCAGUUUUUUUCUUCCUCUCGUUUGCUUUCUCUUUUGUUUUCACUGCACAGAAACUGUUGCCCUUUCUUCCUAUACAUCUCUUCUCUUUCUCUCUGGCUCUCCCCCCCCCCCCCCCCCCCUCACCCUCGCCUGGUUGCUUUGGGACAACAGCAUGCCAUCAUCAGCGGCCACCACCGCCACCACAGGUACGGAUUCAUGGCGGCGAGGACCAGCAGGAUUCUGGGAGGGAAUUUGUGAGACGAGGCUUUAAUGAGAGAGAGGCCUCGUCAGCCGGCGAGAAAUGUAUGCAAAUGAGAUGCACACACCAAAAGGACCCUGGGUAGGCGAGGCAAGCGCCGGCCGAGCUCCCGCUGAGCUCUGAGGAAGAUGAGCGGCUCAGGUCAGAAGAAUGGCAACAAAAACCCUCCUACUCCUUUUCUUCUUGCCCUUUGUUUUUCUUCAUCCUGCAUCUAUGAGUGAAGAGACGAUACAAACUGGUUAACACACAAACUGAGAGACAAGGCUGCCGUGUUGCUACACAAUGGUGGUGUUGAUCUGUUUUCAUUUCUGGACUGCAGUUGCUAGGUAGAUUUUUUUUUUUUUGUCAUCUUUAUAAGCACACUGGCAUUUGUGGGAUAAACUAACAGGAGAUUAAACACAUCUGUGUUUCACAUCAAGACUUUCCUCUUUUAUUUGUUAUAAAUGAUGGCAGUAAAAAUAAAAAUAAAAACAGCAGAGAACUCUAAUUGUGCUUAUGGAAGUCAUUUUUUGUUAUUAGAGAAAUUUGACAUUAAUUUCUUUUGACACUUAAUUUGGC
Long non-coding RNA from Seriola aureovittata, 1313 nucleotides. RefSeq lists it as uncharacterized. The transcript is spliced from 3 exons. The record is from RefSeq and is a predicted model, not a curated record. NCBI's taxonomy places the organism in Eukaryota, Metazoa, Chordata, Actinopteri, Carangiformes, Carangidae.